GGGGCUGUAGUUCAGUUGGGAGAACGCAUGACUGGCAGUCAUGAGGUCAGGGGUUCGACUCCCCUCAGCUCCACCA
Molecule: transfer RNA, 76 nt
Filed under: Candidatus Zixiibacteriota bacterium
Lineage: Bacteria; Pseudomonadati; Candidatus Zixiibacteriota
Description: tRNA-Ala
Rfam family: tRNA
About the family: Transfer RNA (tRNA) molecules are approximately 80 nucleotides in length. Their secondary structure includes four short double-helical elements and three loops (D, anti-codon, and T loops). Further hydrogen bonds mediate the characteristic L-shaped molecular structure. tRNAs have two regions of fundamental functional importance: the anti-codon, which is responsible for specific mRNA codon recognition, and the 3' end, to which the tRNAs corresponding amino acid is attached (by aminoacyl-tRNA synthetases). tRNAs cope with the degeneracy of the genetic code in two manners: having more than one tRNA (with a specific anti-codon) for a particular amino acid; and 'wobble' base-pairing, i.e. permitting non-standard base-pairing at the 3rd anti-codon position.
Source: RNAcentral